CUACGGCUUGUGUCUUCAAUAGCCUGAGGUAUUUUCAUGUAUGUAAUCCUGGCUUGCAUCCUUGCUUGGGCCAUGACCUCUUUGAAGGCAUUGUUAGGUGUGAUUUAGCACUUUUCAUUAAGGACCUAGUGAAGAAAAAGUGGUUCUCGUAUGACUAUCUUAAUAGGACUAUGAAAAGGACCCAGUUGAAAGGUUUUGAUGCAAAUGAUAAACCCCCAGAAAUUAGUAGCUCAGGGGAAGAAAUAUCAGGCCAUGCUGUUGAGAACUGGUGCCUUUUGAGAAAUCUUCCAUUCUUUCUACAUGCUGUUGUUCAGGACCCACAAGAUCAGUCAUGGCAACUGAUACUGUGCCUUAGAGAGAUAGUUGAGUUUGUCUGCUCCCAAAGAAUCUCACGUGGGCAAGUCUUGUCUCUUGUGUCUUUGAUUGAUGAGUAUUCGUUGGAUAGAAAAGAAGCAUUUCCUUUGGUUAACCUCCGACCCAAACACCACUACCUGCGACACUAUCCAGAGCUGAUCCUGAAGUGUGGCCCAUUGAUCAGAGCAUGAACCAUGAGGUUUGAAAGUAAGCAUUCUUACUUAAAAUCGCAUGCUCGCCAUUGUGCCAAUUUUAUCAAUAUUACCAAAUCAUUAGCUGAAAAGCACCAGCUUCUGCAAGCCUUUUGUAGACGUGGUCAGUAUUUCAGUAUUGGCAUUUCAGCUGCAAGAUCCAUUCCAUUUUAUUCACAUCUGUAUGCUCUUUCCCUGAAUUCUGCUGUGGAGAAAUGUGGGGUGCAUAUUGGUGAUGAUGUUCACAUCUCUGACUCAGUCGAUAUUGAUGGCAUACAUUAUUGCAAAGGGAAGUAUGUUGUUGUCAAUCAGACUGAUGUGGAUAGAUUCCAUCUAAGCUUUGGUCUCAUUCAGUCAUUCAUAUUGGGCAGUGACAAUUCUAGUACAUGCCAUUUGCUUGUCUCAAUCAUAAGAGGCAGUUACGACCCUGCACUUGGGGUGUAUGAGUUACUUGAAGCAUCAGGUCAUGAAGCACAUGGAUCCAACUUGAAAUGCCUUGACAGACGGCAACUUUUAGAUACUCAGCCUCUCCAUGCCUACACUGUUAGUCGCAGAAAGUGCAUUGCCCUGAAUCCUUCUAUCUGUUUCAUUGAUGAAGAGCAGUGAACGAAGUGUGAGGUAAAUUUCUUUGAAAUGAAGUCACUACAGGUAGUCAAGAUUUUGUGAGGGUUGUAUAUACGUACAUAUAAGCUCACUCUAACCCCUAAAACGACCUAUAAGCCGUAGUGCAUGUACAUGUCAUACAUGUAUACACAUUUCGUAGAAAAGCAAUAAUUAUUUAGACCAGUCUCAAAUGUUUUGCAGGCAGUGUCAAAUGAACUUCUUUGUGGAAUUCUUUGCACCAUUUUUUCGGUGUUCUCAACAGGGAUUUUAGCAGGGUGGCCCACCCCUGCCAAAAUUUUAUGUUACAGUGCCAAAAUUUCAUACCGUGGAGAACACUGAUUUUUAGUCUGCCAUGUCCUGUUCUCUCCAUGUUUGAAUUGUGAUCAUGAUUUAAACCUAUUAGAGAUGCCUGCUUCGGGUUUGGUGAUUUAUCAGAUGUCAGGAUUUUUUUCACUGAAGAAGUCUUGGCUCAAGAUGAAUAUACAUGUACAUCAGGCGACUGCCACUCCCUAAAUGACUUGUCAAUGGGUGUAUGCUACGACGUUUUGGACUUGAUAAUGAAAUGAUAAAAAAAGAAAUUAAAACCUACAUACAAUUCAGACUUAAUUUCCCUUGAAACAACUCUCCGGAGCCACAAUUAGAAAAAGGGAAAUACAAUUUUUACCUGCAACUUUUUAAUUUUAAUCCCGAUGGUAGUUAUAGCCUUCUGUCUGCUAUUUCAGAAAGCACAAUGGACAAAAGAGGCAGCGGAGUUAACACAGUUCCUAUCACAGGUUUUCCCUACUUUGGACGAUGAGAAUCUUUGAGAAAUCGAGAUUACACUUGUUGACAAACUUGGGUGUGAUGAAGUUGAAGAUCUGCACCAUGCUACAGAGGAUGACCUGCACUACCUAAAACCGUUACGAAGGAGGAAACUUUUGGCUGCUGUUUCUGAAAGAAAGCAUGGUAUGCAGUGGUGUAUCCAGCCUCAUUAAAGUACAGCAAAACAAAGGGUUACGGGAGGGGGGGGGAAUGUGCCCCCGUAACUCUUAGUCUUGCUUUUUAUUGCUGUGAGGCUGGAUACGCCACUGGUAUGGCUUCUUCAUAGACCUGCUACCAGUAAGGCCAAGCAAAAUAAAUGAUGUGUUUACGGUAACCCGACCUACCUGGAUUUUUCACAGCCAAAUUUCCAACCUCAAACUUUUUAGUUUCAAUUAUCUGCCACAAACACAAUCAGUUGCCACACUGAAAACUUGACUGAAAUGGAAAAAAUAAGCAACAAAAUAAAAUUAUUUUCCUACCUGAAUUUGUUGCAAGUCAUUACCGUAAACACACAAUUUAUUUUGUUUUGCCUAAAUGUGGUUAUUAAAGGGACUUUACAAAAUAAGAUGUGCUGAAGUGAGUUGGGGACAAUUUAAGUGUGAAUGAACCGAACUAGGCUUCAGCUAAAUUGCAGGCGUGAGAUUUUUCAGACUUUUAUUUGAAUUGGGACAUUUUUAACCUCAGAGAAACCACACUCUCAUUAUAGUAAGAUACAAAGUUUCAGACAUUUAAGUACAUUUUCAGACUAUUUCUUCAGUUGACAAUAUCAUCCCUGAAAUUGUCAUCUUUCAUGGCCCUUAAAUGUUUGGAUUAAAAAAUAACGCAAUGUGGUAAAUGCAUGCAGUCUGAAUCUGAUCAAAUUUUAUUGAGCUUAAAAAUCAGGAGACAGUGGAUUGAAAGGAGGUGUGGUGGGGGGGGGAAGUUUGCAGCUAUUGGUUUUGUGGUAUAGGUACAUGUUGGUUUCUUGUGAAGGUUCAUGUUGAUGCCAGCAUUGAGGGAUGUCUUUUUGUGGAUUCAUUCAUCACCUGAAGAUUUAAUCUCCAAAUGCUACAUGUAACUUUACAUUCCUCAUUUAUCCUACCCAUCACAGCUAUCCGUCAGCAAAGUGCUAGGCCCAUGGGCUUCUUAUUAUGUUGUUGAUUUUAUAGAUUUGUCACAGUUUUUCAGGAGGAGCUUCUCCCUCUGGCACAGAUCUUGAUGAACGCAGUAUGUUGGAAAGUUCCAUGUCCUCCACAAGCACCAUUCCGGAGACAGAUUCUGAAGAAUCCAGCGUGUACUCUACUCCUGAACCAGCCAAAUCAGAGUUCAGCAUCCCAUGGCAUAAAUUCCCACGCACCGUGAUGAAGAAGUGUGCCAAUCGGAAGUGCCUUACAGCCUCAGAGACAUGUGAAGUUAAGCGAAUGGUCAGUGAUGAAAUGAUGGCAGUGGGAGUUACUAAACGCGGAGCUAUUCGCAAAGCUGCCAAAGCCAUUUGUGACAGGUACCCAUGCUCGUUUGAAGACAGGGGUAUUGGAGGAACCAAACUGGGCAAUGGGUACCAGUCUGUCUUCUCUGGAAUAGAGAAUCGCAUUUACAAUGAGACUCAUAAGAUUCGCAAACGUAAAGCUGAAGUGCUGCAAUCAAAAGCUUCAGAUGACGGCUCAGAGGGUACUGCUGACUUCGACAUGUAUGGAUGCAAACAGGAAUGUGGUUGCCAGACUGUCCAAAUGAAGAUGAGUUGAAUGCCCAGAUGGAGAAGAAAAAACUGCUGCAAAAUCUGAAAGACCUACCAGACUGUGACACUGAGAAAGUGAUGAAGCUAAUGACUGACACGACAUCUCCAGCGCAAAGAUAUUUGCAGUGGCAUGUCUAUUGCUGAACUCAAUAAGGAGUGGCCUUUUCUCUUGACCUAUAAGUGUCUUGUCAACCAUUUCCACAUGCUCACCGAGAUAAAUCCGGAAUCUGCAAUGGAAGAGUCGCUUCUCGCUAGGAACAAGGGUAGCCGCAUAUACGAGUACAUAUUGUCAGGGACACAGAAGAAGAAGUCUGUUGAUGUGAAGAAGUGGAUUGGCAUCAUAAAGGCCGAGGUAGAGGAGACAAAAUCAACAGACCCUCAAUGCCAAUGUGUUUUCUUCCUGCUCCUGAAUUAUUUCGAAGAUGCGGAAGAUAGGCUGUUUCGCUUCUAUAGAGAUCACGGGAAGACAUCUUCCAGGGCCGGAACCUGUUUUACCUCGUCAUAGAGGGUUCUGUCAUCAAUGAUCGCAUUGCAACCUUCCUCGAAGCUGUCACAAGCCUCUUCUUGUGUUUUUACACACUCUCUUUAGAGUACCCCCCAGAGGCAGCAAUCACAAUGGAGUUUAUCCAGAGGGAAAUGAUCGGCAUCAAUCCAGACGGGCCAGUUGUUGCAAAGACUGGAGGCAAGAAGAAAAACAUAUCCGCCGUCGCUCCCAAGAUUGUGGCCCUCCUUCGUGGGAUCAUGGAAUUCGAGUCAGACUGGCAUAUGGAUCAGUAGCAGAUCUGCUGCAAUUUGUUCGCUCUGAGACAUAGACAUUCGCACCCUGUUGCCUUCAUUUGUUUGGGUUUUUUGUUUUCUUUUUUUUACAUUUAAUUUAUUCUUAUACAGUAACUGUUUAAUUAACUCUCAAUUUGGGUUUGGCAUCAAGUGGAACUUAUUGCGCCUAAUCAUACAUGUUAAAGUUAAGUUACGCUUCACAGGUUUUGUCAAAAGAAGUUUACAACUUGGCAAUGUGUGCAUACAUCUGUACAUUAAUUCUUGAUGAUGAUGUUUGACUAUUUCUUGUGGCUCCCUUGUAUGUCAUACAUUUUGGUUUGACAUGCUUGAUACAUUUGAUGUUGGUAUUUUAUGCUACAUGCAGGUUUAAUGCCAUGUGGGUGUUUACAUCCAGGUCUACAUAGGUAUAUGGAGAAAAGAUUCACAAAAAAAAUUUUGAAUAACCUAUUCAGUUACAUGUAUUGAUGUUACAUGUAUUAUAGGUCUGUUUGACUGAAAAAAGUGGCAUUUUGAAAGUUCUGAGCCUUAGACCUGUGUAAUUGUUGAUGUACACUCCUUCCACCCUGUAGCCUUCCUUUUUUUAAAAAAUUCUUAUACAGUAUUUAACUCUUAAUUUGGUUUUUGCAUCAGAUGGAACUUAUUGCGCCUGAUCACAUGUUAAAGCUAAGUCAUGCUUCACAGAUUUUGUCAAAAGAAGUUUACAACCUGGCAAUGUGUGCAUACAUCUGUACAUUAAUUCUUGAUGAUAAUGUCACGGACCGGCUUGAUUUAAGUCUAAUCUUGGAAUGUGUUAUGAGUUUGGUAGCCAUCCGAGUAGUCAUAAUAGUUCCCACCCCGUCAUGCUUGUAACCAGUAUUUAAAGAGCUCGGUGGGAUAUGAAAUGAUCAGUUGUCUGUAACUAUUCAUAUUGCUUGACUUAUA
Long non-coding RNA from Acanthaster planci (crown-of-thorns starfish), 5361 nucleotides. The record is from RefSeq and is a predicted model, not a curated record. Lineage: Eukaryota; Metazoa; Echinodermata; Asteroidea; Valvatida; Acanthasteridae.